UGGGGAAUUUUGGACAAUGGGCGCAAGCCUGAUCCAGCAAUGCCGCGUGCAGGCUGAAGGCCUUCGGGUUGUAAACUGCUUUUGUACGGAACGAAACGGCUCUGUCUAAUACCUGGGGCUCAUGACGGUACCGUAAGCAUAAGCACCGGCUAACUACGUGCCAGCAGCCGCGGUAAUACGUAGGGUGCAAGCGUUAAUCGGAAUUACUGGGCGUAAAGCGUGCGCAGGCGGUGCUGUACUACAGGUGUGAAAUCCCCGGGCUUAACCUGGGAAUUGCAUUUGUGACUGCAUCGCUGGAGUGAGGCAGAGGGGGAUGGAAUUCCGCGUGUAGCAGUGAAAUGCGUAGAUAUGCGGAGGAACACCGAUGGCGAAGGCAAUCCCCUGGGACUGCACUGACGCUCAUGCACGAAAGCGUGGGGAGCGAACA
This 427-nucleotide ribosomal RNA is filed under the name uncultured bacterium. RNAcentral describes it as "bacterial SSU rRNA". It matches the Rfam family "Bacterial small subunit ribosomal RNA", at positions 355 to 774 of the family's 1533-position model. The record is from RNAcentral.